Molecule: ribosomal RNA, 1125 nt
Filed under: Triticum aestivum (bread wheat)
Lineage: Eukaryota; Viridiplantae; Streptophyta; Magnoliopsida; Poales; Poaceae
Description: partial small subunit ribosomal RNA
Source: RNAcentral
AUGGGCCAGCUGAAGGGGCGGGCAGCAGCUUCGCGCCGUCGCGGGAAAAAAGAGGGCGGGAGAAGAGAAUCCAGCGGCGGCGGCGAGGCGUGGGUCCAGGGAGCGGGGAUGAGCUCGUCGACGACGUCCGGGCAGGGCCAGGGCGACGACGCGCCGGACCUGGUGUGCGUGGUGGACUGCGUCCAUGGCAUGGUCGACGCCCUCUCCUGCGUCCGCUGGAACAAGCAUCAGGUCAGCCGUCAGCAGCCGCCCCCCUCUCCUCUCUUCUCCUCUCCUCUCCUCCGCACGCGUAGGCUGUAUCUAAGAGCCGCCCUCCAUGGCAUGGUCGUCCCGCAGGGCGCGGUGGUGGAGCUGUCGGAGCACGGCAUCGUGGUCACCGUGGAGGAGAGCGGCUGCCUCCAGGCCAAGGUCUACCUCAAGACCGAGCUGUUUGCGGAGUACGACUACGGCGCGGAGGGACGUCCACGGUUCGGCCUCAACCUGGGGCUCCUCGUCGACUGCCUCAACAUGUUUACCGUCCCCGGGUUCGCCUCCCCCGUCGAGAUCCGGUACCCUGGCCCCGACAUGCAGCUUCUCCUCAGGUCAGUGGGGUUUCCAGAUGCAUGUAUACACGCAGAAAUCAGAACCAGAAUUCCUGAUACUGUCGCCUGGGAUUACCAUUUUGAGCAUGCAGGGAAUACUCCAGUCACUUUUACUGUUAAGUCUGCCAUCCUGAAAGAAUCAAUUGAUGACCUUGAGUGGCCAGGCUCCAGCAUUCAGAUUCAUUUUCAUCCAGACCCGCCUUCAGUAAUAUUUAAAGGUGAAGGGCAUGGUGACUUGGAGAUCGAAUUCUCCUACUAUGCAAAUACUGCUCUUCUAAUUGCAUUCCAGUGUGACCAAGAAUUAUCCUACAGGUAUAAGUACAAGUUUCUUCGUGCCACUACCUCGAAUGUUCCAAGUAGUGUCUUGAAGGAGAAUCGUGGGAGUAAAGUGACGAUUGGGAGGGGAGGGAUGCUCAAAAUCCAGCACCUGGUUUCAGUUGCAAGGCUAGGUACGCAAUCCUACCAUAAUUUUGCUGGAGGGGCUCAACAGCCAAGCCGGAUUGCAUUUAUCGAAUUCUUUGUGAAGCCGGAGGAGGAUGAUUAA